This 274-nucleotide ribosomal RNA is filed under the name uncultured bacterium. Its description in RNAcentral is "partial 16S ribosomal RNA". It matches the Rfam family "Bacterial small subunit ribosomal RNA", at positions 523 to 796 of the family's 1533-position model. The record is from RNAcentral.
AUACGGAGGGUGCAAGCGUCAAUCGGAAUUACUGGGCGUAAAGCGUGCGUAGGUGGUUUGUUAAGUCAGAUGUGAAAGCCCCGGGCUCAACCUGGGAACUGCAUUUGAAACUGGCAUACUAGAGUAUAGGAGAGGAAAGUGGAAUUUCAGGUGUAGCGGUGAAAUGCGUAGAUAUCUGAAGGAACAUCAAUGGCGAAGGCAGCUUUCUGGACUAAUACUGACACUGAGGUACGAAAGCGUGGGUAGCAAACAGGAUUAGAAACCCUAGUAGUCC